Molecule: long non-coding RNA, 2631 nt
Filed under: Solanum lycopersicum (tomato)
Lineage: Eukaryota; Viridiplantae; Streptophyta; Magnoliopsida; Solanales; Solanaceae
Description: long non-coding RNA (SLYC_LNC000963)
Source: RNAcentral
UGGAUAGCUUCAGCACUUCAUGCAGCAGUUAAUUUUGGGCAAUACCCUUAUGCUGGUUAUCUCCCUAAUCGGCCUACAUUAAGCCGGAAAUUCAUGCCAGAGCCAGGAAGUGCUGAGUAUGAAGAGCUGAAGAGAAAUCCAGAUAAUGUAUUCCUCAAAACAAUCACUCCUCAGCUGCAGACAUUGGUUGGAAUUUCCCUUAUAGAGCUCUUGUCAAGGCAUGCUUCGGAUACCCUUUACCUCGGACAGAGGGACUCACCUGAAUGGACAAAGGAUCAAGAACCACUUUCAGCUUUUGAGAGGUUCGGAAAGAAGUUGGGUGAGAUCGAGGAUCGAAUUAUUCAGAUGAAUGGUGAUAAUCAGAAAUGGAAGAACAGGUCAGGGCCUGUUAAAGUUCCAUAUACUUUGCUCUUUCCCACCAGUGAAGAGGGACUCACAGGCAAAGGAAUCCCCAACAGUGUGUCUAUAUAGAACUUAUUAUUGUAUCCCCUUGUUGUGCUUGUUUCUUCAUAUUAAUUCCCAAUAAUAUCACCAAAUAAAAUUCUAGUUACAGUAGGGCUGUAAUGUUGUUGGAGUUACUGUAAUUAUAUUGGCUAUAAUGUUGUUGGAGUUAUCGUAAUUAUAUUGGCUAUAAUGUUGUCGGAGUUACUGUAAUGUUGUUGAAGUUAUAUGCUAUAUUCAUAAACUUUUUUUUGUAAUGUUGUUGGAGUUAUUUUUAUGUAAUGUUGUUGGCGUUAUAUGUUAUAUAUGUGUUUGGAGUUAAUGUUGUUGGAGUUAUUCUAGUGACAAAAACUGGUACUCGUAUUUGACAGGUAAUCAAGAGUAACAGGUCAUUCGUAUUGAACCACCAUGACAUCAUUAUGCCAUACUUGAGGAGCAUUAACAUGUCCGCAAACACAAAAGCCUAUGCCUCAAGAACUCUGCUCUUCCUACAAGAUAAUGGAACUUUGAAGCCCCUAGCAAUUGAACUAAGCUUGCCACAUCCAGACGGAGAUCAAUUUGGUGCUGUUAGCAAAGUAUAUACACCAGCUGACCAAGGUGUUGAAUGUUCUAUUUGGCAGUUGGCCAAAGCCUAUGCAGCUAAUGACACGGGCAUUCAUCAGCUCAUUAGCCACUGGUAAAACCUGUUAGAAAGUUUUAAAUGAAAUACAACUUACCCAUAACCAAAUUCAAUGAAUUAUUUAGUAGUUGGAGACAUUUUGUUAUUACCUUCUCUGGUUAAUUACGCAUGCAGUGAUGGAGCCAUUUGUGAUUGCAACAAAUAGGCAACUAAGUGUGCUUCAUCCCAUUCAUAAACUUCUUCAUCCUCAUUUCCGUGACACGAUGAACAUAAAUGAUUUAGCAAGACAGAUCUUGGUAAUUGUGGUGGUUUUGUUGAGAUGUUCCUAUUUCCUGCCAAAUAUUCCAUGGAAAUGUCAGCAGUAGCUUACAAAGACUAGGUUUUCCCUGAACAAGCACUUCCUUCUGAUGUCAUCAAAGGUAAUUGAAAAGCCACAAAAAGCACAUACCUGUACUAAAUACAGAAGAUAAACUCACUAAAAUAACCUCUCUCUUUUUGUCAUCCUGUUAACAUGACCAUAAUGUUGUUCAAUUAUAGAGUAGUUGUUGAAGACUUGACCUGUCCACAUGGCGUUUGCUUAUUGAUUCAGGACUAUCCAUAUGCUGUUGAUGGCUUGGAAAUUUGGUCAGCAAUCAAAAGCUGGGUAACAUAAUAUUGCAACUUCUACUACAAAUCAGAUGAGACAGUUCAGAAAGACGGUGAACUCCAAGCCUGGUGGAAUGAAAUUCGUGAAGGAGGACAUGGUGACAAGAAAGAUGAGCCCUGGUGGCCUAAAAUGCAAACUUUGCAAGAGCUCAUAGAUUCUUGGAUAGCUUCAGCACUUCAUGCAGCCGUCAAUUUGGGCAAUACCCUUAUGGUGGUUACUUAGUUAAUCACCCUACAUUAAGCCGAAAGUUCAUGCCAGAAGCAGGAAGUGCUGAGUAUGAAGAGCUCAAGACAAAUCCAGACAAGGUAUUCCUCAAGACAAUUGUUCCUCAGUUGCAGACAUUGCUUGGAAUUUCCGUCUUAGAGAUCUUGUCAAGACAUGCUUCAUCAGAUGAGGUUUACUUGGGACAAAGGGAUACCCCUGAAUGGACAAAGGAUCAAGAACCACUUUUAGCUUUUGAGAGGUUUGGAAAAAAGCUGAAUGAUAUCGAGGAUCGAAUUAUGCAUAUGAAUGGUGAUCAUAAAAAAUGGAAGAACAGGUCAGGGCAUGUUAAAGUUCCAUAUACUUUGAUCUUCCCCACAAGUGAAGAGGGACUCACAGGCAAAGGAAUUCCUAACAGCGUGUCUAUAUAAACGUAAUGUUUCUUGAUAUUAAUUCCCAAUAGCUUUUGCAGUCAAUUUUGGGAAUUAGUCUUAUGGUGGUUACCUUGUUAAUCGCCCUAGUUUAAGCAGAAAAUUCAUGCCAGAACCUGGAAGUGCUGAAUAUGAAGAACUCAAGAUAAAUCUAGACAAGGUAUUCCUUAAAACAGUGGUUCCUCAGCAGCUGACACUGCUUGGCAUGUCUGUCUUAGAACUCUUGUCAAGGCACGCUUCGGAUACACUUAACCUCGGGCAGAGGGACUCACCUGAAUGGACAAAGGAUCAAG